This 254-nucleotide ribosomal RNA is filed under the name uncultured bacterium. RNAcentral describes it as "partial 16S ribosomal RNA". It matches the Rfam family "Bacterial small subunit ribosomal RNA", at positions 524 to 777 of the family's 1533-position model. The record is from RNAcentral.
GACGAACCGAGCGAACGUUGUUCGGAAUCACUGGGCUUAAAGGGCGCGUAGGCGGACUGCCGCGUCCGGGGUGAAAUCCCACGGCUCAACCGUGGAACGGCCCCGGAUACGGGCGGUCUCGAGGGAGGUAGGGGCAUGCGGAACUACGGGUGGAGCGGUGAAAUGCGUUGAUAUCCGUGGGAACUCCGGUGGCGAAGGCGGCGUGCUGGACCUCACCUGACGCUGAGGCGCGAAAGCCAGGGGAGCAAACGGGG